RNAcentral lists this transfer RNA (76 nucleotides) under Pseudomonadota bacterium. RNAcentral describes it as "tRNA-Val". It matches the Rfam family "tRNA". Rfam says of the family: Transfer RNA (tRNA) molecules are approximately 80 nucleotides in length. Their secondary structure includes four short double-helical elements and three loops (D, anti-codon, and T loops). Lineage: Bacteria; Pseudomonadati; Pseudomonadota. The record is from RNAcentral.
GGGUGCUUAGCUCAGCCGGUAGAGCGGCGCCUUUACAAGGCGUAGGUCGGGGGUUCGAAACCCUCAGCACCCACCA